Molecule: long non-coding RNA, 1851 nt
Organism: Centruroides sculpturatus (bark scorpion)
Lineage: Eukaryota; Metazoa; Arthropoda; Arachnida; Scorpiones; Buthidae
Exons: 3
Source: RefSeq, a predicted model, not a curated record
AAUAAAAUGAAUUUAAAAUGAAAAAGAAUCUCAUUUACAAUACUAUCAAAAUAACAGAUACAGUAGAAUUUUGAUUGUGUAACAGUAAUAUUUUCAUGCUUGAUUCUUCUCUUCUUGAAAACUUUUUGGAUCCUGAAAAUAUCUACAUAAAAGGCAUAAAAGUUUUGGAUUUUUACAUAUAUUCCUUAAAACUUAAUGAGUGUAUGUACAUUCAUUAAGUUCUAAGGAAAAGCAAAUGCUUUUAAUUUUUCUGAUUAUGUAAGAAUAAGCAAUCUAUUGUUUUCUCUAUUAUAAUAUUUAUUAAAAAUAAUAUGUAUAUGUAAUAAUCAACAAGGAUAACAAAGAUGAAAUGUAUUGUUAUCAGUUAAAUAUUAACUGAGGACAAUAUAUUUUGAAUUCUUUAUUUUUUCAUAAAUCAAUACUUAAAAUUCAAAAUUUAUACUGAAUCAUUUUCUGUUUUUCACCAAUCUCUUUUCCCAAGUAAGGUAGGAGUCUGCAUACAUCAUUCAUCAAAGUCAUUUUUCCAUUUUUGUCUUAAUCUUCUCAAUGAGAAGAUUAAAACAAAUAUGGUAAAAUAAAUUAAGAAAUUUUUGAAAAGAAUAUAUAGAAAGAAUAAACAAAAACGGACAGAUCAAAAUUGGCAUAGUUCAAGAAACUAAUUUGUGGCUGACUGCAGAAUAGCAAAGAAGUAAAUUUACAUACUGCCACAUAAGUAUAGAACUGUCAUCUUUCUUGCAAGUUUGAAGUGUGAAAGUAUUUUUUUCAUCAUGCCUCGUGGUACCCAUUUAACAGACUUUAAAAAAGAACAAAUUACAGCUUUGAGAAGCACUGGUUUAAGUCACCAGGAUAUUUAGGUAUUCAAGUACAUCACAAAACCAUUAGAAGAGUUUUACACAGCAACAACAACAUUGUUUGGUCUCGAAUGAGAAGUGCCCCUGCUCUUAAGCCUGAGCACAAAGCUGCCUGACUCAAUUUUGCUAGGAAAAGCAUGGCAACUCAAUGGAAUAAAAUAAUCUUUUCAAACAAAAAAAAAUUUAAUUUGGAUGGGCCAGAUGAUUUAGCAUUCUACUGGCAUAAUUUACAAAAAAAGCCCAAGUACUUUUCACAAAGGAACUUUGGUGGUGGGAGUGUUAUGGUUUGGGGUGCUUUUUCUGCUUUGAGAAAAUUGGAUUUGGCAUUUGUUACCUGUCACAUGAACAGUGCCAACUAUCAACAAGUUCUGGAGAACAAAUUGCUACCAUACAAACAUAGAUUCAGAAAAAUUCCUCUUAUUUUUCAACAGGACAAUGCAUCUAUCCAUGUAUCACAAGACAUGAAACAAUGGUUUGAAAAUACACAAAUUGGCCAGUUCAUUGUCCUGAUUGCAACCCUAUAGAAAACAUUUGGAAAUCUUGGUUGACUGAAUUUAGGACCAAAAUCAUCGAUAUAUCAACACUGAAUACUUAAAACAAGCAAUUGUCAAUGCUUGAAACUCCUUUGAGACAUCGAUCAUAAAAAUCCUUGUUGAUAGUAUGCCAAUUGUAUUUCAAUGUUAUCUGUAAAGGAGGUGCACAAAUAAAUUACUAAAUUAAACUAUUUUGUAGUAUAUAAUUCUUUUUGCAUUCAUUUACUUUUGUGGUGCUUAAAAUCAGUUUUUUUUACAAUUUCUGCUGUUUGCUGCAAUAUAGGAAACUAUAAGUUUCAACAAAUUAUGUUUUGAUAAAUCCUGAACAAUAUAAGAAAAAUAGCUACAUCAUACAUGUAAUGCCUAACCUUCCUGUAGUAAAAUUUGCAGUUGUUCUAUACUUUUGCGAAGCACCUUAUAUGUAAAAAUAUUUAUAAAGGAAAGAAACAUAUAAAAAAACUUUGCUC